GAGGAGGGAAGGAGAGAGAGAGAGCGCAAACAAUGUCAUUUUGUACAGGAGGCAAUGCUGCAGUCAACUUUGCAGCACCAUGAAGGCACAUCAUCACACCAAGAGGCUCGCUGAAGUUUUCCUGCUCCGUCACCGCUGAUGCAGCCCGACCGACGAUCGUCUGCAGGAGCAGCCUCGUGCACCCGGCCGGCUGCUGUGCAGGAACAUGCCUUGACUUGUUGCAGUGACCAAGUGCAAAAGAGACAGAGAGCAGAGAGACGCAGGUGGCUUUCGGUCAAAGCCUGCACAACACCUGUGGACAACGGCCGACUGGUACCAAAGGUGGACUGGGGAGCUGGUUUACUGCCUUGGGAGAUGCGUGCAUUGCGGUGAAAUCUUCUGCGGGAUCAGACUACAUGGAGGGGGGGUAACCUUGACCAGGACAUCAGUGACUAGCGGACGACCGCAGAGCGCUCUUUCGUGUCCAUGUCCUGUCAGCAAGCGGAGUCCUCGGGGAGAAGACCAUAUAGAAUAGUCCGACGGACAAAAAUAGCACUGCAGAGAUCGCGGGGAGACUUUUAACUGAUACCUCUUUGCUGAACAACACUUAAGCAUUUGCUUUACAUGAGGAGAGCAGCAAUCUGAACACACCGCUACAAAUUGAGAGAGCACUGAUCAUCUUCUACUUCGAGAGCUCAUCAUAGUAAAAAGUGCCAGCUUUCAUGCCACUCUCGAGGAGAAUGGACCAGUUGGCAGAACUACUGGCUGCUGUGGGUGUUUCUCUGGCAGUGUCUUAGCUGGUUGUUGUGAGGAGUGAGAACGAAGCAAUCAGCAAGUAUACUGCCGCAGAAAUUCUUUGCAAUAAGAGUCCUCAGCAAUGACAUUGACUCAUGGAGGGGGAAACCUUAAGCUGCUUUGUAUCGACCAUCACAUUAUGGACCAAGUUGUCACAUGAAGACAUAGUCGAAAUAAACAUGUGAGUAAUGACGAACUGAAUACAUUCUGUUGGCUCAAAGCUUGCGUUGUAGUUUGUGGAAAAAAAAGUCUUCUGCUGCCAUCUGAUGGCUAAAAGAAGCAUGGAUUUAAAAUGACUAUUUGCUGAUGUGUGUUUUAUGUCCGUCUGCCUGAAAUUGAUUUUCACAAUAAUUCCAUGUAAAUUCAGUCGCUUUGAUUUAUAAAUUUGUGCUGAUUUACCAAGUAGUCAAAACAAUUUGUCCAGUUGCUAAAUCUAAUAAGAUCCAAUUCAAGAGCUGUAUGUUAAAAUUAGCUUUUACAAAAUGAAUAAUCCUUCGAUAUAAUUGACACAGUCCAGAAAAUGUUAAUUAAACACAAUACUCAUUAAC
Molecule: long non-coding RNA, 1322 nt
Organism: Syngnathus typhle (broad-nosed pipefish)
Lineage: Eukaryota; Metazoa; Chordata; Actinopteri; Syngnathiformes; Syngnathidae
Exons: 5
Source: RefSeq, a predicted model, not a curated record